UAGAAGUUCGUGUAGAAUAGUUGUGCUCAUCCCACAAACAUACCUGAGGAUUACUUACAAUCUGCAAUGAGUUUUAUGGAGAAGCAAUAGUUUAGAUUUCCUGUUUAACAAGCAUAAUUUGUUGCUAGACAUCUGCUCGUAAAAGUAAAUUCCGGCAAAUCCUUGUCUUCCGUAAUCAUUUACUUCAUGGAAAAACUGCAAUGAAUAUCCAACCAACAACAAUUUUGUCAAAAAGAGUUCCUUGAGUCCAGAUAUCUCCGUCCGCAGUCUCCCACAAAGAGAUCCACUGGCCAACAGCCAAUUACUCCAUCCUGGACUUCUCAACUUCACCAAUAGAAACCAGAUGGAGACUCAUACAACAAUGCUGUAUGGCCAGAACUUGAGAGAGAGAGCGAUAAAGAAAAAGAGAGGCCCCGUCCUUAGCUCGCAAACCGAUGGUCCGGACUCUGCAUUUCCUGCCUGAAGACGAAGGCAGGGGUGCAGCCGUCCCCCUGUGAGGUAUGGGAAGGGACCAUCCUGGUGGUGGUGGUGGUGGUGGAGGAUGGAGGGGAAUGGAAGCAUCAGCAUCUGCAAACUCAGACAUGUGAACGGGAGCAGAGCAGGAAUCAAACGUUUCCUCUCCUGUCUUCAUCAAUCACUCCUUAUUAAUCCAAACAUGCUGGAGAAGGCAGCCCUCGCUUCACUUGAGGAAAAAGGCCCGCUUUGUUUUCUGUUCUCAUUGAGUCAAGCCGGGUUUGAAAUGAACCCUCUCAAGGAAUCAAUGGGUUAAGAGCAUAGACUGUAAAAUAAGAUAAGCUAUAACUGUAUCUGUGAGAGAAAUGUGCCGGCAGGUGAGCGAUUCACAGAUGAAAUUGUACACAAAUGAUCAGAC
This is a non-coding RNA of Pimephales promelas (fathead minnow), 871 nucleotides long. The record is from RefSeq and is a predicted model, not a curated record. Lineage: Eukaryota; Metazoa; Chordata; Actinopteri; Cypriniformes; Leuciscidae.